GAUGAACGCUGACAGAAUGCUUAACACAUGCAAGUCUACUUGAACUUCGGUUUGGGUGGCGGCCGGGUGAGUAACGCGUACAGAACUUGCCUCACAGUUAGGGACAACAUUUGGAAACGAAUGCUAAUACCUGAUAUUAUGAUUUUAGGGCAUCCUAGGAUUAUGAAAGCUAUAUGUGCUGUGAGAGAGCUUUGCGUCCCAUUAGCUAGUUGGAGAGGUAACGGCUCACCAAGGCGAUGAUGGGUAGCCGGCCUGAGAGGGUGAACGGCCACAAGGGGACUGAGACACGGCCCUUACUCCUACGGGAGGCAGCAGUGGGGAAUAUUGGACAAUGGACCAAAAGUCUGAUCCAGCAAUUCUGUGUGCACGAUGACGUUUUUCGGAAUGUAAAGUGCUUUCAGUUGGGAAGAAAAAAAUGACGGUACCAACAGAAGAAGUGACGGCUAAAUACGUG
Molecule: ribosomal RNA, 454 nt
Filed under: uncultured bacterium
Lineage: Bacteria
Description: partial 16S ribosomal RNA
Rfam family: Bacterial small subunit ribosomal RNA
Source: RNAcentral